UUGCACUUUCCCAAGCCCACGGGAGCCCCCACCUCCGCGCUGCACCCCCAGCCCAUUCACCGCGCCCCCCUCCCCCCCAAAAAAGGAAACCAGACGAGCCGAAAACAGGGGCAGCGGGAGUCGGGGCGAGAAGGAAAGGUGAGGGAGAGGGGACUUACUUUUCGAGGCGCGGUGCUGAGCGCUGCAGGCGAGAAAUAAAGGCCCAGACCUGGGCUCCCUGGAGCCCCGCGGAUGCAGUGGUGUCAGCGCUCCAGUCCUGGCGGCGUUGGCUCUGGCGGCCGCAGGGGACCGGGACGGGGACUGGCGCGCGUGCGGCGGGCGCGGCACAGCUCGGCGGGCGCUCGCGCUGCGCUCCGGCUCGGGCCCCGGCUCCGCGCGGCUCCGCUCCUGGCUCCCCUCUGGCUCCUGGCACCAACUCCGGGCAGUCACAUGACGCCGGCGCCGCUCGCUCUGCGAGCCUCCCGGGGCUGGCGGGGCUGCUCAGUUACCUGUAGCAACAUCCUCGGCUGCCUAAUGCUUGUCCUGUACAAGACUCGGUUGAAGCAUCAGCUUCUCCAGAAGAUCUGGUCCACAAGCCAUCUCCACCCCAGCAGGUCAUAAGAAGACAGAGGACUGUGCGAUAUCAGUUUUCGGGGAGUCUGGAUCUCGUUUAGAGGACAAAGAAGAAAAUCCUUCAUCAGACCAAUAUCACGUGAGAGACUUGUUUUGUUUGGCUGGCAAGCAUCAAAUAUGUUAAGAACUAUUUACCACACAUUUAAAUUGGGAGGCUUCACAAAAACAUCUGGAUAGUUGGCUUUUUUUUGAACAAUCAGGAAUUCUAGCAACAGAGACCUAUCUAUGUUCCUACACGGAAAAGAUUCAUUGGAGCUGAGUAGCUGCUGUGCCCUCUCAAGGGGCCAUAAGCUCUCUGUUUCUCAUAGUCCCCACACAGCCCUCUCUGCCCAUCUAUACUUCUGGCCCAAGAGCUUUAAGCAUUUGCAUUUAAAACCUAGAUCAGUGUUUUUCAGAUUAUGACCCCCUUAUGAGUCAUGAAAUCAGCUUUAAAAGAAGGAAAAAGGGGAAGGAGGGGAAGGAAGAGAAAGAAGAAGAAGAGGAAGAAAUAGAAACUAUUGAAUAUACCACCUGGAGUAAGGGUUAGUAUUAUUUGAUGAAAACUUUGUUUCAUUUAUGUUUAUGUAUGCUUGCACUAGGUUACAAUAUAAAAUGCAUUUCUUCCUAUGAGUUGCAAUAAAAUGUUUGAAAGCCAAGACUACUGAAAAUUGAAGUAAUCCAAAUUUUGGUUAAGCAUUUAGUUUGCCAUAUUAGUUUACUUCUUUUGGUUUUAUUUCCCCUUAAAUUAUCUGGGCAAUGGGGUGUUAUUUGUUACAUAGCCAUAACCACAGAAUUCAUACAAACUUGACAACAUGGGUCCCUUUGAAUGCCUAUAAGUGAUCUAUAAUAAAGGAUUAAAACAUCUAAUUGAAGUGGGAGAAGAGAUUGAUCUUCCUGGUAUUUCUCAGACUUAGGAUCUAAGACCUAUGAUCCACUAGACUGCAUAGUUGUAUGGUUUUAAGUUGGAUCAUAUUAAAUAAUAAUUGGGUUUAUUUACAUAGGAUUUGGGGUCUUUCUUUUUUUGCUUUUUUUGUUUGUUUGUUUUUAUGGCUGCACCUGCAGCAUAUGGAAGUUCUUGGCUGGGGUUUGAGUCGGAGCAGCGGCUGAAGCCUAUGCCACAGCCACAGCGACGCUGGAUCCGAGCCACAUCUGUGAGCUAUGCUGCAGCUUGCAGCAACACCAGAUCCUUAACUCACUGAGUGAGGCCAGAGAUGAAACACGCAUCCUCAUGGACACUGUGUCGGGUUCUUUACCUGUUAAUCUACAAUAAGAACUCCUACAUAGGUUUUUUUAAGGCAACUAAUACUCUAGGCUAGAUUAGAACUUUCAAUAGAACUUUCCGUGACGAUGAAAAAUUCUAUAUCUGUACUAUUCACUCUAGUAACCAUUAGCCACAUGUGGUUCUUUAUUAUUUUAAAAUGUACCAGUGUGACUGAGGACCUUUUUUUUAAAUUUUAACUUUAACCAAUUUAAAUUUAAGUAACCACGCGUAGGUUGUGGCUGCCACAUUGGACAGCCUCCCUCCAGAUUCUAGAACGAGUAUCUUGAAAGAAGGUUGGCUCUAUUUCUUCCUUAUUUCCCACACGUGAACAUCCAUUGGCCUGACAGAAUCGUCUAAUUCAGACACUGCACACCAAAGAGUAAGGCAGCCUAACAUUCAGGCUGCUAGGGACAGUUUACUUUGGGGCCAGAUGUCUGCCAGAGACAAAUGAUCCAGUGUCUACAUGUGGACCCUCUAGGUUCUUAUCCCCACUGAUUUUUGUUUUUAUAAAUUAAAAAUUACUUGAAGCAAAAAAAAAAAAAAAAA
Molecule: long non-coding RNA, 2398 nt
Filed under: Sus scrofa (pig)
Lineage: Eukaryota; Metazoa; Chordata; Mammalia; Artiodactyla; Suidae
Description: uncharacterized LOC100510918 (LOC100510918)
Source: RNAcentral